This 1231-nucleotide long non-coding RNA is filed under the name Homo sapiens (human). Its description in RNAcentral is "HSALNT0339951". The stretch from base 20 to 76 matches the Rfam family "HOXA transcript at the distal tip, conserved region 1". Lineage: Eukaryota; Metazoa; Chordata; Mammalia; Primates; Hominidae. The record is from RNAcentral.
AGACCCGCGCAACCAGGCGGGGAGGGGAGGUGGGCGCGCGAUUGGGUUGCGAUCUGGAGCAGUGGGGACAGGUCAGGUAAUUCUGCCGGCGGUCAGGGAUGGGAGAGUGGGGAGGACGGGACCAGCCUAGCUCAGAAUGGGUGUUUCUUGGAGCCUCUGGGACUGUUUUCUUUCCAGGAACCGGCGCGUAUUUCUGCAGUGAGACCACAGGACGGACAUCGGCGCCUUCGGCUUCGAUGGAGUUGCGAUUUUGCUCUUUCCAGGGAAACAGUGGCAGGGUGUUUGCUGCUUAUCGGUUCCUGCGGAUAUGCCUGGGUCCCAGGACAUUCCACUGGAGGCUUGGACUGCAUUUAGGAGCCCCUAUCCCUUCCCUGUCCACACUGUUAGUGAGCAAUUUCAUAUGUUUGCAUUUAGACCCAUAGACUCAGAACGACUCAUCACACACACACACAGUGUACACUGACACACUCACAUUCGCACACUUAGGUAUACAGCCUGAUCCUUGCUCUGACCUGGUAACAACGCUUCCUCCUCCAGAGACUUUGAGAUAGAGCGAGCGAUCCCUGUGCACCAUUCAUCCAUGCUCCCACCUCGCCAGUAUGGCUGGCUUAGUUCUGGAAGGGGCUUAAGAGGAACAAGCCCCAGCUGUGCUUCUGGCUGGGACUUAAACCCCCCUUCUGGGCCCUAAAGCCACGCUUCUUUGUGGACCGGACCUGACUCUCCAGGAAUCUGGGAACCCGCUAUUUCACUCUAUUUUGGGACAAGAAAAAGGGGCUCUUUGGGGCCACUUCCUGCCUUCCCCUCAAGUAGGAUCUCCAGCCUGCAGAGGGUGCCUAGUCCUUCUUUGCCCAAGAACCAGUCCAAGAAGCCUUUCCUCUGUGCCUGGGAAAUGCAACCUUUUCUUGGGAGCAUGGUAGGGUGUUGGUGCUGAAGAACCAAGCAGCGACCCGUCUUGUAGCUGCCAUGUUUUGUCGAGGGGUUCUGGGGGUCCUGCUGCUUUAGAGCCACAUACUUCCACUUCCUGAUUCACUACUGUGAGCUGGUCAGAUGCCUAGAAGAGGAACAAGCGUUCAAAGUGAAAGUGGGCACAUUACCGGAAUAGUGCUGGGGAGAGUGCUGGAUUCUUUUCCACCCCAGGCGGACUGCCCCGAACCCUGCGCGCAGAGAAAGGGUCUCAGCUCCACAGACGACUGGGUCCCUCCUCACCAAAAAUGGUGAGACAAGAUUUCAU